This 371-nucleotide long non-coding RNA is filed under the name Callithrix jacchus (white-tufted-ear marmoset). RNAcentral's name for it is "lncRNA (ENSCJAG00000070529.1)". The record is from RNAcentral. Lineage: Eukaryota; Metazoa; Chordata; Mammalia; Primates; Cebidae.
UGACCAUCAACAGAUGAAAAAGAAAAGUAACAGGACUGUAUGUGAAUUACCAAUGAUCUUUCAGAGGAACUCAUAUUUAAGCCACAAUCAACAUAUGGAACAGUUUCCACCACUCACAAGAAGCCCCCGCAUGCUGUUCUUUUGGGAACAUGCAAUGCCUUUUCUGCGGACUGCAUCCCGAACAGAAGCUGGAGUCAGUACAGAUCUUUAAAUCCCUGUUAUUUCCACUGAAUUUUGGGUGAGUUUCUUGCUGUGUGUGUUUUUUUUGUGAUUUCUUUGUUUUGAGAUUUAUUCUUUGUGAUGGCUAAUAUUGAGUGUCAACUUGAUUGGAUUGAAGGAUGCAAAGUAUUUAUUGUUCCUGGGUGCUUCUG